This 460-nucleotide ribosomal RNA is filed under the name uncultured bacterium. Its description in RNAcentral is "partial 16S ribosomal RNA". It matches the Rfam family "Bacterial small subunit ribosomal RNA", at positions 338 to 795 of the family's 1533-position model. The record is from RNAcentral.
CCUACGGGUGGCUGCAGUGAGGAAUAUUGGUCAAUGGGCGUAAGCCUGAACCAGCCAAGUCGCGUGAGGGAUGAAGGUUCUAUGGAUCGUAAACCUCUUUUAUAAGGGAAUAAAGUGUGGGACGUGUCCGAUUUUGUAUGUACCUUAUGAAUAAGGAUCGGCUAACUCCGUGCCAGCAGCCGCGGUAAUACGGAGGAUCCGAGCGUUAUCCGGAUUUAUUGGGUUUAAAGGGGGCGUAGGCGGCCUUGUAAGUCAGCGGUGAAAGUCUGUGGCUCAACCCUAGAAUUGCCGUUGAAACUGGGGGGCUUGAGUAUGUUUGAGGCAGGCGGAAUGCGUGUUGUCGCGGUGAAAUGCUUAGAUAUCACGCAGAACCCCGAUUGCGAAGGCAGCCUGCCAAGCCAUGACUGACGCUGAUGCACGAAAGCGUGGGGAUCAAACAGGAUUAGAUACCCAUGUAGUC